RNAcentral lists this unclassified non-coding RNA (965 nucleotides) under Hevea brasiliensis (rubber tree). Lineage: Eukaryota; Viridiplantae; Streptophyta; Magnoliopsida; Malpighiales; Euphorbiaceae. The record is from RNAcentral.
UAAUAUAUUUAAAAAAAUAAUUUUAUCAACAAUAAUUCCACUAGCAAUAUCCAAUAGACACUCAAAUGUUAAUUGAUGCCCACAUUCUUCAAAUAAAUUCCCAACAAAAUUAUUGUUAUUUAAUGUUCAGUAAGGUUAUAAAGCUUGAGAGAUUUAUGUCUCAUAUUCCUAAAGGAAUACAUGAUGUGGGGUUUUGGCUCCACUCAAACAGAAUGUCACAAAAUGAACCAAUAAAAGGAGACCUGAAAAAAUGAGAGCAAAAGGCACAGUGAAUGAGGUAUGAAUGUGAUCAAGAAAAUCUUCAAUAAAGAUAUGCAUUAGGUUCCAUAAAGUCUGAUGUAAUGAAUUAGUUUCAACGUUUGGUAUACCCUUUUUUAUGGCAUAAUUAUGUGGUUGUCAUUCUUUGGUUUCAUUGUUGUAAGACCAGAGCUUUGCUUGUAAUUGCAUCUAUCUUUCAAUGAAUAGACAACAUAUAAGGUGUGGCCUAUUGUGAUUGGUAAAGAUGAGCAAGUGGACAAAGGAUGAGACUUACUUGCUCAAAAUAAGCUAAUUAUUAGGGCCCACAUCAAUAAUCUUCAUCAAAAUCAAAUGCCACUAACCAUACCUUUUUGCUACCAAACAAACUCAAAAUAUUGUUUUCUUUUUUAGAGUUCAAGUAUAAUUAGUUUAGAGAUUCAAUUAGAAGUGUGAAGUAUAAUUAGUUUAAGAAGUUUAAUAGAAUUUAAAUUAUAAAGUUUAAUAAUUAGAGUUCUAAAAGGACUAGAUUUUGAUGGCUUAUAUAUAUGUGUAGUUGGUUAACCAUUAUAUGGAAUAUAUUGUAGAGAGCUUACGAAGUGGAGAGGUGUGUUGAAUUCCGUGAAUUUUGAUUGAGUGAUUUUGAGGGUGAGAAAAAUAAUUAGUGGUUGUAAUUAUUUUUCCUUGAUAGUGGAUUUCUUUGGUGAAGUAGGCUUACGCCGAAUCACGUU